RNAcentral lists this ribosomal RNA (324 nucleotides) under uncultured eukaryote. RNAcentral describes it as "partial 18S ribosomal RNA". It matches the Rfam family "Eukaryotic small subunit ribosomal RNA", at positions 1470 to 1796 of the family's 1831-position model. The record is from RNAcentral.
CCAUUAGAUGUCCUGGGCUGCACGCGCGCUACACUGAUGUGUCCAGUAAGCACCUAACCUCUUCCGAAAGGAACGGGUAACCUUUGCAAAGCACAUCGUGAUGGGGAUAGAUUAUUGCAAUUAUUAGUCUUGAACGAGGAAUUCCUAGUAAGCACAAGUCAUCAGCUUGUGUUGAUUACGUCCCUGCCCUUUGUACACACCGCCCGUCGCUCCUACCGAUUGAAUGUUCCGGUGAGCUCUUCGGACUGCGCGGUCUGCAGUUUCUGCGUUCCGUGCGGAAAGUUGCGCAAACCUUAACAUUUAGAGGAAGGAGAAGUCGUAACA